RNAcentral lists this long non-coding RNA (2975 nucleotides) under Mus musculus (house mouse). RNAcentral describes it as "predicted gene, 21655". The record is from RNAcentral. Lineage: Eukaryota; Metazoa; Chordata; Mammalia; Rodentia; Muridae.
CUCCGUGAUGUCACCAGUGUUGUAGUGACAACAAACUCACUGAGAUUUCUCAGUCAGAGGCUGGACACUGCAGUGAUGGCCUUGUUUGCCCGACUCUGCAGACUUUUUCAGAGAGCCAAUGUGGAUGGGAGAGAGACCAGAGAGGGGAGGAAGGAUGCUGACCUUCCAUCUGAGAGUAAUGAAGGACGAAGGAGGUGGACUUGGCGAAUGUGGAUGGCUCACAGACAGACAACAUCCCCUGUUCCUGUCACAAGCAAAAAGCAGUUUGAGAAGGAAGAGAAGGAGCUGAUCAAAAAGAUCCAGCUCACUACCAAGGAGAUAAAUGAGCUGAGAGAUCGCCUGAUCUACGUGACCAAGGGAUCCAUGAACAAGAGGCCCUACCACAGGCAAACUCGACAUUAUAAAGAACUGAAAUUAAAGGAGAAGGAGAUAAUGACAUAUCUACACGACUUAGAGAUGAAGAACAUGGAGGCCCGAGAGAACAAUCAGGAGCUCAAGAAGGAGAAAAAUUUCUAUCGUAACCUGCACACCAGGAUCCUGCUGGAGGAGAAUCUUAUAAAGAAGAAGUUGGUGAUAUUGCAGUAGGAGAGCAAGGAAGUACAUGCUGAUUGGGCCACCAUUCAUCAAAGUUUGGUGGAGUUGAACCUGAGUGGUAAAGACGAACAGGAGAAGACCAGCAACCUGGAGACUCAAGAACAUCAGGUCUCAGAAGCUGCAAGAGAGCUGGUAUUGGCCACAGCUGAAGAAGACAGCAUCUUGCAGAAUGAGUUGCCAUGCCAGGAGGCCCCUGCUGAGCACCAUCCCCAGCACCCACCAUCUUCCUCAGAUGAAUCUUCCUCAGAUGAAUCUUCUUAUAGCACAUGUCCUGAGUGGGAAUAGGCCCUACCGAGGAAGCCAUGGCUGAUUCAGGGCAUUGUUCCCUUUUCUCUUCAGACAACGCCUCUUGGCAGGGAAUUGAGGUGAUUCCUCUGCUACCAAGUGUCCAAGAGGAGCAGCAGGCUGUAGGGCUGUGCUGCUAAAAGUGCAGAAAAAGGCUGCUGAACAAUAAUUUUCCUUUAGAGUUUUGGUUGAAGUUUUGGUUUUUGUUCUUUCAAUUGUUGCUAAGUUAUUUAGAAGUUAUAUGUUCUUAUAUUUCAUUGUUUUUUCCUUUAUCUCUAUAUUAAUUGAACUUUUAAAACCUAUUUUUUAAAAAUUCUAUUUCUUAUGCAUAAAAACUGAUUUGUAAGAAGUGACUCUUGAGACCAUCUUCCUUAUUCAGGUGUUCUAUCCCAGCUGUAGACGUAGAACUCACAUCCAGAGAUGGAUCUUUGUAAGUUCCAGGCAGCCAGGGCUAUAUGGCAAAAUUAUACCCUAGGCACCUAGGGGUAUACAAGGUGAUGAACUUUUGUGUCAAUAAUUAUACUUACCCCAUGGAUAAACACUUGAUGAUGUAAUCACUGCCAUACUGCAUCCAUGGUGUCAUGAAUUCUCUUACUCCUAACAUAUAGCACUCUAUAACACACAUUCAUUCAUGAUCCUGUGAACCAGAUACUGAGUAAUAUACAGCCAUUUUUCAGGAGCUUCUGCAGAUAUAAAAACAUUCAGAAAGGAAUAUAAAAUAAAUCAGGAAGGCCAGAGCCAUCUGCCUCAGUUUACUUGCAAUAGAGCAACAGUGAUUGAGGAGAGCAAUGGCUUCCCUUUGGUUCUGGCCUGAAAGGGUCAGAGCCGUUAACUGGGAGAAAGGUCAUGGGUCGUUCCUCCUGAAAGGGAGGGAUGUCUAAACAUGACUUUCUGUGAGCCAGAGUUUUUCCUUGUUCCUAGUCAAGAGUUAAUAUUUACCCUGAUAGGAAGAUGUCCUUGGGUCUUCAGAUAACAGUUUCUUCUUCUGAAGUUUGUUCUUGUUAUGAGAAAAUGACUCCAAAAAUGAUAAUAUUGUCUGCCAGGUGCAACUAAGUAAAAAUGUUAUUUUUUGAGCAAAAUUUGUAAAGUCAUACCCCAUGUUUUUAAGCUGUAGAAAUCAGUAAAGCUUUGCUACUUGCCACCAGAGCGGUAGUCCGUCUGUUUCUUUAAGUCGUUCCCAAACCUGGUCUUCGUCAAGUGAUAACCACAAAGCAGAUAUAAUUACCUUCCAUGGCUUGCUGGAAAAUAGCUUCUGAUAGAUGCUGCUGUCCUUGACCAUAAACUUGCUGUGUUUUUGCUGUUGCUGAUUAGACUUAUGUUUAACAUUUAUGUGAAUGGGUGUCUUUCCUACUGAAUGUAAUACAGUAUGUGGCUCCUCCUGAGGGACAUUUCCCUCAGAGGACAGAAGAAGGAACCACAACCAUUCCUGGAGAUGGUUGUUAGGCACCAUGUGGGUCUUCUAGAGAGUAGCAGAUGCUCUAACCUGUGAGGCAUCCCCACACCUCCUGCAGUUGGCUUUUGUCCUUCCAGAGAAUGUGCUGUUUUAGAUGGCCAGGAUCAAGUCCAGUUGAGUGGAGAAAUAUCAGGAGAUGUGUAGGUACAGUGCCUGACCUAUGCAUACUCAUUCAUGUAAGCAGGGCUCUGAUGUUACCACUGGCAGGACUGUGUUCAGAGCCAUUUAAUUGGACAAAAUGGGGUAGUGGGAAAGUUGUGGAUUGCUGUUUGUGUUUUCUGCUCCCUCAAGAGUCCCUAAACAAAGGUGCAGUUAGGUGAAAUCUUAAUUGGUCAGAUAAGGCUAGAGGCUCUUAUUGGACAAUUGGGAAGAAAUGCAGAGCUGAAAUAUUAGAGAGGGGAAGUGUGAUGGAGAAGAGAGAGGGAACGGAGGACAAAAGAUAGAGGAAUGGGAAGAUGGUGCUAGACUACGGGGCCCUAGUGUCCAUAAAUAACUGGGGAUUUCAUAAAUUGGAAAUAGAGUAAUGUAGGUACAUUUUCCUGAUCUAAGUGUGCAGGUUUUAUUUAUAUGUGUUGAGUUUUGUAUUGCUUGCAUGGGCACUUUGUGCUUGUAGAUUUCCCCUAAUAAAUUUGGCUGGCAUAUU